Molecule: ribosomal RNA, 2901 nt
Filed under: Klebsiella pneumoniae
Lineage: Bacteria; Pseudomonadati; Pseudomonadota; Gammaproteobacteria; Enterobacterales; Enterobacteriaceae
Description: 23S ribosomal RNA
Rfam family: Bacterial large subunit ribosomal RNA
Source: RNAcentral
GGUUAAGCGACUAAGCGUACACGGUGGAUGCCCUGGCAGUCAGAGGCGAUGAAGGACGUGCUAAUCUGCGAAAAGCGUCGGUAAGGUGAUAUGAACCGUUAUAACCGGCGAUGUCCGAAUGGGGAAACCCAGUGUGAUUCGUCACACUAUCGUUAACUGAAUACAUAGGUUAACGAGGCGAACCGGGGGAACUGAAACAUCUAAGUACCCCGAGGAAAAGAAAUCAACCGAGAUUCCCCCAGUAGCGGCGAGCGAACGGGGAGCAGCCCAGAGUCUGAAUCAGCUUGUGUGUUAGUGGAACGGUCUGGAAAGUCCGACGGUACAGGGUGAUAGUCCCGUACACCAAAAUGCACAGGCUGUGAACUCGAAGAGUAGGGCGGGACACGUGGUAUCCUGUCUGAAUAUGGGGGGACCAUCCUCCAAGGCUAAAUACUCCUGACUGACCGAUAGUGAACCAGUACCGUGAGGGAAAGGCGAAAAGAACCCCGGCGAGGGGAGUGAAAAAGAACCUGAAACCGUGUACGUACAAGCAGUGGGAGCACCUUCGGGUGUGACUGCGUACCUUUUGUAUAAUGGGUCAGCGACUUAUAUUCUGUAGCAAGGUUAACCGUAUAGGGGAGCCGCAGGGAAACCGAGUCUUAACUGGGCGUUAAGUUGCAGGGUAUAGACCCGAAACCCGGUGAUCUAGCCAUGGGCAGGUUGAAGGUUGGGUAACACUAACUGGAGGACCGAACCGACUAAUGUUGAAAAAUUAGCGGAUGACUUGUGGCUGGGGGUGAAAGGCCAAUCAAACCGGGAGAUAGCUGGUUCUCCCCGAAAGCUAUUUAGGUAGCGCCUCGUGAAUUCAUCUUCGGGGGUAGAGCACUGUUUCGGCUAGGGGGUCAUCCCGACUUACCAACCCGAUGCAAACUACGAAUACCGAAGAAUGUUAUCACGGGAGACACACGGCGGGUGCUAACGUCCGUCGUGAAGAGGGAAACAACCCAGACCGCCAGCUAAGGUCCCAAAGUCAUGGUUAAGUGGGAAACGAUGUGGGAAGGCACAGACAGCCAGGAUGUUGGCUUAGAAGCAGCCAUCAUUUAAAGAAAGCGUAAUAGCUCACUGGUCGAGUCGGCCUGCGCGGAAGAUGUAACGGGGCUAAACCAUGCACCGAAGCUGCGGCAGCGACACUAUGUGUUGUUGGGUAGGGGAGCGUUCUGUAAGCCUGCGAAGGUGACCUGUGAGGGUUGCUGGAGGUAUCAGAAGUGCGAAUGCUGACAUAAGUAACGAUAAAGCGGGUGAAAAGCCCGCUCGCCGGAAGACCAAGGGUUCCUGUCCAACGUUAAUCGGGGCAGGGUGAGUCGACCCCUAAGGCGAGGCCGAAAGGCGUAGUCGAUGGGAAACAGGUUAAUAUUCCUGUACUUGGUGUUACUGCGAAGGGGGGACGGAGAAGGCUAUGUUAGCCGGGCGACGGUUGUCCCGGUUUAAGCAUGUAGGCUGGUUAUCCAGGCAAAUCCGGAUAAUCAAGGCUGAGGUGUGAUGACGAGGUACUACGGUGCUGAAGUAACAAAUGCCCUGCUUCCAGGAAAAGCCUCUAAGCAUCAGGUAACAUCAAAUCGUACCCCAAACCGACACAGGUGGUCAGGUAGAGAAUACCAAGGCGCUUGAGAGAACUCGGGUGAAGGAACUAGGCAAAAUGGUGCCGUAACUUCGGGAGAAGGCACGCUGGUGUGUAGGUGAAGUCCCUGCGGAUGGAGCUGAGACCAGUCGAAGAUACCAGCUGGCUGCAACUGUUUAUUAAAAACACAGCACUGUGCAAACACGAAAGUGGACGUAUACGGUGUGACGCCUGCCCGGUGCCGGAAGGUUAAUUGAUGGGGUUAUCCGUAAGGAGAAGCUCUUGAUCGAAGCCCCGGUAAACGGCGGCCGUAACUAUAACGGUCCUAAGGUAGCGAAAUUCCUUGUCGGGUAAGUUCCGACCUGCACGAAUGGCGUAAUGAUGGCCAGGCUGUCUCCACCCGAGACUCAGUGAAAUUGAACUCGCUGUGAAGAUGCAGUGUACCCGCGGCAAGACGGAAAGACCCCGUGAACCUUUACUAUAGCUUGACACUGAACAUUGAGCCUUGAUGUGUAGGAUAGGUGGGAGGCUUUGAAGCGUGGACGCCAGUCUGCGUGGAGCCAACCUUGAAAUACCACCCUUUAAUGUUUGAUGUUCUAACGUUGGCCCCUGACCGGGGUUGCGGACAGUGUCUGGUGGGUAGUUUGACUGGGGCGGUCUCCUCCCAAAGCGUAACGGAGGAGCACGAAGGUUAGCUAAUCCUGGUCGGACAUCAGGAGGUUAGUGCAAUGGCAUAAGCUAGCUUGACUGCGAGCGUGACGGCGCGAGCAGGUGCGAAAGCAGGUCAUAGUGAUCCGGUGGUUCUGAAUGGAAGGGCCAUCGCUCAACGGAUAAAAGGUACUCCGGGGAUAACAGGCUGAUACCGCCCAAGAGUUCAUAUCGACGGCGGUGUUUGGCACCUCGAUGUCGGCUCAUCACAUCCUGGGGCUGAAGUAGGUCCCAAGGGUAUGGCUGUUCGCCAUUUAAAGUGGUACGCGAGCUGGGUUUAGAACGUCGUGAGACAGUUCGGUCCCUAUCUGCCGUGGGCGCUGGAGAAUUGAGGGGGCUGCUCCUAGUACGAGAGGACCGGAGUGGACGCAUCACUGGUGUUCGGGUUGUCAUGCCAAUGGCACUGCCCGGUAGCUAAAUGCGGAAGAGAUAAGUGCUGAAAGCAUCUAAGCACGAAACUUGCCCCGAGAUGAGUUCUCCCUGAGACUUUAAGUCUCCUGAAGGAACGUUAAAGACGAUGACGUUGAUAGGCCGGGUGUGUAAGCGCAGCGAUGCGUUGAGCUAACCGGUACUAAUGAACCGUGAGGCUUAACCUU